GGGCGACUGAGAUUUUAUCAGAGUUGGGGUGUUUGGGUCAAUUUAAUUUUGGGAGUUAGUUUUAUAAAAUUGAAAUGGUGAAAUUUGUUAAUUUGGAGUGAAGCUGGUUUUUAGUUAAGGGUCUUGAUUCUUUAAAGUUCGGGGGAUAAAAUAGGAUUAGAUACCCUACUAUACCUGUUAUGAAAUAUUUAUGAUUCUUGAGUAGUAAACAGAUAUAUUCUCGAAACUCAAAGGAUUUGGCGGUAUCUAAGUCUAGUUAGAGGAACUUGUGCAGUAAAUGAUAAUCCGCGAAUAUCUGACCUUCUUUUGUAAUUGUCAGUUUGUAUACCGCCAUUAUUAGGUAGUCUUACUGGAGAGUUACCGGAAUUAGUGAAUACUAAGAAUAUUAGGUCAAGGUGCAGCUAAUGAGGGGGCUUGUUGUGAGUUACAUUGCGAUAAGUUUAUACGGAAAAUUUAUGGGAGAAUAGAUUGGAAGGUGGAUUUAAUUGUAAGGGGUGUGGAUUAGCGCAUUUUUGAUAGGAGCUCUUGGAUAUGUACACAUCGCCCGUCGUUCUCACUUU
RNAcentral lists this ribosomal RNA (560 nucleotides) under Alpheus cyanoteles. RNAcentral's name for it is "partial small subunit ribosomal RNA". Lineage: Eukaryota; Metazoa; Arthropoda; Malacostraca; Decapoda; Alpheidae. The record is from RNAcentral.